GAGGAAUAUUGGACAAUGGGCGAGAGCCUGAUCCAGCCAUGCCGCGUGCAGGAAGACGGCCCUAUGGGUUGUAAACUGCUUUUAUACAGGAAGAAACACUCCCUCGUGAGGGAGUUUGACGGUACUGUAAGAA
RNAcentral lists this ribosomal RNA (133 nucleotides) under uncultured bacterium. RNAcentral's name for it is "partial 16S ribosomal RNA". It matches the Rfam family "Bacterial small subunit ribosomal RNA", at positions 356 to 486 of the family's 1533-position model. The record is from RNAcentral.